GAUGAAGAACGUAGCGAAACGCGAUAGUUAAUGUGAAUUGCAGAAUUCAGUGAAUCAUCGAGUCUUUGAACGCACAUUGCGCACCUCGGCAUUCCGGAGGGCAUGUCUGUUUGAGCGUCAUUUCAACACCCUCGCUUUAAGCGGUAUUGAGGCGUGGAAUCCAUAUCAAUGGAACCAAGCUUUUAAAGUUGAAGGCAAGCAGAACGAAUGUCUUGAACAAAACAUAGUAAAAUCUUCACGGUUUCUCCUGUUUGUCCUCGAUGUUACGUCUCGCCCAAACAAUUUUUUUUUUAGUUUUGACCUCAGAUCAGACAAGGAUACCCGCUGAACUUAAGCAUAUCAAUAAGCGGAGGA
Molecule: unclassified non-coding RNA, 354 nt
Filed under: soil metagenome
Description: partial contains 5.8S ribosomal RNA, internal transcribed spacer 2, and large subunit ribosomal RNA
Rfam family: 5.8S ribosomal RNA (bases 1-120)
Source: RNAcentral